GUGAACGCUGGCGGUAGGCCUAACACAUGCAAGUCGAACGGCAGCACAGUAAGAGCUUGCUCUUACGGGUGGCGAGUGGCGGACGGGUGAGGAAUACAUCGGAAUCUACUUUUUCGUGGGGGAUAACGUAGGGAAACUUACGCUAAUACCGCAUACGACCUACGGGUGAAAGCAGGGGAUCUUCGGACCUUGCGCGAUUGAAUGAGCCGAUGUCGCAUUAGCUAGUUGGCGGGGUAAAGGCCCACCAAGGCGACGAUCCGUAGCUGGUCUGAGAGGAUGAUCAGCCACACUGGAACUGAGACACGGUCCAGACUCCUACGGGAGGCAGCAGUGGGGAAUAUUGGACAAUGGGCGCAAGCCUGAUCCAGCCAUACCGCGUGGGUGAAGAAGGCCUUCGGGUUGUAAAGCCCUUUUGUUGGGAAAGAAAAGCAGCAGGUUAAUACCCCGCUGUUCUGACGGUACCCAAAGAAUAAGCACCGGCUAACUUCGUG
Molecule: ribosomal RNA, 491 nt
Filed under: uncultured bacterium
Lineage: Bacteria
Description: partial 16S ribosomal RNA
Rfam family: Bacterial small subunit ribosomal RNA
Source: RNAcentral